This is a long non-coding RNA of Achroia grisella, 354 nucleotides long. RefSeq lists it as uncharacterized. The record is from RefSeq and is a predicted model, not a curated record. The transcript is spliced from 2 exons. Lineage: Eukaryota; Metazoa; Arthropoda; Insecta; Lepidoptera; Pyralidae.
UAAUUAUCUAAAGAGAUACAGUAUUAAUAAUAAUAACUAACGAAAAUUCACACAGCGUCAUGUAGUCCCAAAUGUUGAGGGAAUUGCGAGUAUGCCGUAAUAGUGUACGUUGGUGGGACUCUAGCGGAGAUGGAAUGAGGAUCAUAGCAAGGUCAAUAAAGUCAUGGAAACCUAAAUGACUAGGUUUCCAUGAGGAUCAAGUGGAUCCAUUAAACUAUAUAUGAAAAAGCUUAAGUAACACUUUUUUAUGCAUUUGAAAUGUUAAACUGAUAACUACUGAUAGUUUCUGGUAACUGCUGGUAACCAUCGCUUAAAUACUUAUAUGAACAGGACCAUGAAUACCACAAUAUCAAA